RNAcentral lists this ribosomal RNA (301 nucleotides) under uncultured bacterium. Its description in RNAcentral is "partial 16S ribosomal RNA". It matches the Rfam family "Bacterial small subunit ribosomal RNA", at positions 509 to 807 of the family's 1533-position model. The record is from RNAcentral.
CAGCCGCCACGGGAAUACGAGGGGAGCUAGCGUUAUUCGGAAUUACUGGGCGUAAAGCGCACGUAGGCGGCUUUGUAAGUUAGAGGUGAAAGCCCAGAGCUCAACUCUGGAAUUGCCUUUAAGACUGCAUCGCUUGAAUCCAGGAGAGGUGAGUGGAAUUCCGAGUGUAGAGGUGAAAUUCGUAGAUAUUCGGAAGAACACCAGUGGCGAAGGCGGCUCACUGGACUGGUAUUGACGCUGAGGUGCGAAAGCGUGGGGAGCAAACAGGAUUAGAUACCCCGGUAGUCCCUGUCUCUUAUAC